This 246-nucleotide ribosomal RNA is filed under the name uncultured bacterium. Its description in RNAcentral is "partial 16S ribosomal RNA". It matches the Rfam family "Bacterial small subunit ribosomal RNA", at positions 531 to 776 of the family's 1533-position model. The record is from RNAcentral.
GGGGCUAGCGUUGUUCGGAAUUACUGGGCGUAAAGCGCACGUAGGCGGAUAUUUAAGUCAGGGGUGAAAUCCCAGAGCUCAACUCUGGAACUGCCUUUGAUACUGGGUAUCUCGAGUAUGGAAGAGGUGAGUGGAAUUCCGAGUGUAGAGGUGAAAUUCGUAGAUAUUCGGAGGAACACCAGUGGCGAAGGCGGCUCACUGGUCCAUUACUGACGCUGAGGUGCGAAAGCGUGGGGAGCAAACAGG